Paramuricea clavata is the source of this 232-nucleotide non-coding RNA. The record is from the annotation of a GenBank genome assembly. Lineage: Eukaryota; Metazoa; Cnidaria; Anthozoa; Malacalcyonacea; Plexauridae.
GUCAAUUAUUAUCAUAUAAGAUUGCGCAUUCAAGUCAUAUUGUUCAUUGCAGUUCACCAUUGAUUAAUGUGCUUUGUGUAUUUCUACGAAGUAAAGUUUAUUCCGCAUACUCUAGUGGCAGUGCAGUUCACCAUUGAUUAAUAUAUGCUUCGUAUUUCUGUGCUAAUUACUAAGCUUAUGCUAAAAGCCUAAACGUUAUCCCAAUGUCUACUUUCCUUCAACAAGAAAAAAU